UACGUAGGGUGCGAGCGUUAAUCGGAAUUACUGGGCGUAAAGCGUGCGCAGGCGGUUUUGUAAGCCAGAUGUGAAAUCCCCGGGCUUAACCUGGGAAUGGCAUUUGGGACUGCAAGGCUGGAGUUUGGCAGAGGAGACUGGAAUUUCCGGUGUGGCAGUGAAAUGCGUAGAUAUCGGGAGGAAUACCGAUGGCGAAGGCAGGUCUCUGGGCUAUAACUGACGCUCAUGCACGAAAGCGUGGGGAGCAAACAGG
RNAcentral lists this ribosomal RNA (253 nucleotides) under uncultured bacterium. RNAcentral's name for it is "partial 16S ribosomal RNA". It matches the Rfam family "Bacterial small subunit ribosomal RNA", at positions 524 to 776 of the family's 1533-position model. The record is from RNAcentral.